CAUCACAAUUACAGACUAUGGAAUCCAGAGGAGACAAGUGUCACAGAGGACAGAACUCCUGCAGCCGACCUCAUCUAAAUGAUUUUAGUAAAAACUACAGGUCUGGAUUCUGGCAACCAAACCACAGGGUCUCUCUAAAAACAGCCCAGCUUCCUCACUUUGGGGUUGGAAGGUCAGAGGAGAAAGAGUACCUUUCCCAUGAAUGAUUGGAAAAUAUUUUCACACCAAGAGAUUAAAAGUGGGAAGGAGAGGUAAAAGGCUGCUUGGCUACAAUAAAGAGAUGAUGGAAAUGAGAAGUCUACAAAAUACUGAAGUCUAACAACAGAAGUUUCCCAAAACGUGCAAAUCUACCUUUAAACAAAAGCCUGUCAAGCAUUAGUCUACAAUCAAGACACUGAUUUACACAGUGGAUUUUCAGGAUUCUUGCAUCUGCAUCAUCAGAAGUGCAAACUGUACAAAAAGAAACCACCAGUUUCACAGAGAAUCUCGUCUCCAUCCACACCUCCAGCUAUUCGUAUCACACAAUUCCUGACCAAUUUCUAACCAAGAAAGCUCAGGACAAAGAGGAAAACAAAAAAGGAGGGAUGGCAGCAUCAAAGAGACUUAUUUUAUUUUACAAAUAAAAGCCAAACGAUAUCU
Long non-coding RNA from Vidua chalybeata, 639 nucleotides. RefSeq lists it as uncharacterized. Lineage: Eukaryota; Metazoa; Chordata; Aves; Passeriformes; Viduidae. The record is from RefSeq and is a predicted model, not a curated record. The transcript is spliced from 6 exons.